Molecule: non-coding RNA, 47 nt
Organism: Astyanax mexicanus (Mexican tetra)
Lineage: Eukaryota; Metazoa; Chordata; Actinopteri; Characiformes; Acestrorhamphidae
Source: Rfam
UAAAAGGUUCUUUUAGGAACCAACUAAAAUACUUUUUUUCACUGUAU